CGGUAAUUCCUGUCUCCAAUAGCGUAUACUAAAGUUGUUGCAGUUAAAAAGCUCGUAGUUGGAUUUCUGCUUGAGAGGGACGGCAGGCGUCAUUGACGUUUAGUCUGACUUCUCGUGCAUCCUGUCACGAACCACGUUGCUCUUAAUUGAGUGGCGUCGGGGAUUGACUCGUUUACUUUGAGAAAAAUAGAGUGUUCAAAGCAGGCUUACGCAUCUGAAUAAGUUAGCAUGGAAUAAUGAUAAAGGACUUCGGUUCUAUUUGUUGGUGUUCGGAACUGAAGUAAUGAUUGAUAGGGACAGUUGGGGGCAUCAGUAUUCCGAAGCGAGAGGUGAAAUUCUAGGACCUUCGGAAGACUAACCGCUGCGAAAGCGUUUGCCAAGGAUGUUCCCUUUGAUCAAGAACGAAAGUUGGGGGAUCGAAGACGAUCAGAUACCGUCGUAGUCUCAACUAUAAACUAUACCAGCUAGGGAUCGGCCGGCGUUUAUUUCUAAGGGCCCGGUCGGCACCUUAUGAGAAAUCAAAGCAUUUGGGUUCCGGGGGGAGUAUGGUCGCAAGGCUGAAACUUAAAGGAAUUGACGGAAGGGCACCACCAGGUGUGGAGCCUGUGGCUUAAUUUGACUCAACACGGGAAAACUUACCAGGUCCAGACAUAGUAAGGAUUGACAGAUUGAGAGCUCUUUCUUGAUUCUAUGGGUGGUGGUGCAUGGCCGUUCUUAGUUGGUGGAGUGAUUUGUCUGGUUAAUUCCGUUAACGAACGAGACCCCAGCCUGCUAAAUAGCGCGCGUGUGCUUUUGCACGCGGUGAGCUUCUUAGAGGGACCAUGGCUCGCAACACAGACCAGGGGAGUUUGGGGCAAUAACAGGUCUGUGAUGCCCUUAGAUGUUCUGGGCCGCACACGGGCUACACUGAUGCGUGCAACGAGCAUAUCAGCUGGCUAGAAAUAGUCUUUGGCUAACCUUUUGAACUCGCAUCGUGCUAGGGAUUGACUAUUGCAAUUGUUAGUCAUGCAACGAGGAAUACCUUGUAAACGCGAGUCAUCAACUCGCAUUGAAUACGUCCCUGCCCUUUGUACACACCGCCCGUCGCUCCUACCGAUGAAUGUUCCGAUGAAAUUUUCGGAGGGGUCCGAUGACCCGGGUUUUGCCUGGCGAUCUGGUAUCGCGAAGUUGCUUAAAUCUGAACAUUUCGAGGAAGGAGAAGUCGUAACAAGGUAACC
Molecule: ribosomal RNA, 1217 nt
Filed under: uncultured Rhizaria
Lineage: Eukaryota
Description: SSU rRNA
Rfam family: Eukaryotic small subunit ribosomal RNA
Source: RNAcentral